AAGCAACACUUUGUGGAAGAUGAUCAAAACUGUCUGACACAAUUAUAGCUUUCUAUGCUAGCAAAGUCUAGCAUAGACUAUUGCAGUGUUCUCUCUUCUGUGAAACAAACCAUUACAUAGACUCAAUGUUU
Molecule: small nucleolar RNA, 131 nt
Organism: Artibeus jamaicensis (Jamaican fruit-eating bat)
Lineage: Eukaryota; Metazoa; Chordata; Mammalia; Chiroptera; Phyllostomidae
Product: small nucleolar RNA SNORA28
Exons: 1
Source: RefSeq, a predicted model, not a curated record